CAACAGCGUAUAUUAUUGAUGUUGCAGUUGAAACGUUCGUAGUCGAACCUUAUCUGCUAAAGCAUUGUGGCAUUUAUGAUGACAUGAUGCUCUCAGCAGAGAUUGUACAAGUGUUUGCAUGUGUUUUACAUGUUUGACCUUGUAUCUUACUUUGAGUGAAUCGGCGUGUUCCACGCAGGCAUGAGCCUUGAACGAUUUACCAGAGUAUGGAAUUACCAGGCAUGAGCAUAAUCAGAGUAUGGAAUUGCUUCCUUGUUUGUUCGGAAGCUUUUUCGAUACUGAUAGGAACGGUUGAGGGCAUUCGUAUUCGACUGCUAGAGGUGAAAUUCUUUGAUUAGUCGAGGACGAACCAUUGCGAAAGCAUCUGCCAAGGACGUUUNCUUUG
RNAcentral lists this ribosomal RNA (385 nucleotides) under uncultured eukaryote. RNAcentral describes it as "partial 18S ribosomal RNA". It matches the Rfam family "Eukaryotic small subunit ribosomal RNA", at positions 592 to 975 of the family's 1831-position model. The record is from RNAcentral.